Long non-coding RNA from Manacus vitellinus (golden-collared manakin), 391 nucleotides. RefSeq lists it as uncharacterized. The record is from RefSeq and is a predicted model, not a curated record. The transcript is spliced from 2 exons. Lineage: Eukaryota; Metazoa; Chordata; Aves; Passeriformes; Pipridae.
ACCUGUUUUUCUUGUAACUUCUACAGGUACCAUAAGAACAUGUCAGAAAUUUCUGAUUCAGUAUAACAGAAGACAGCUGCUGAUGUUGUUGCAAAACUGUACAAAUGAAGAGGAAAGACAGUGUAUACGGAAGUCGUUGUUGAGCUGUUCCCUUACAGAAGAGCAGUCUCAGAGUGGAGAUGAGGAGGAUGAUGAUGGCACAGAGACAGACUGAACAUCACUUGUUACUGUUCACCUCCAUCCUGAACUUGUGUAAUCAAGAUGUGACCAGUUAUCUUCAGUGUUAAGCAAAGCAGGGCACAGGAAGAGCACCUGUUCAUAUUUAUACUUCAUUCCCUGUUCCAAGUGUUCUUCAAUAAUUUUUUAAAAAAUAAAAUACAGUUUCCCUUAA